Pelobates cultripes (western spadefoot toad) is the source of this 255-nucleotide non-coding RNA. The record is from the annotation of a GenBank genome assembly. NCBI's taxonomy places the organism in Eukaryota, Metazoa, Chordata, Amphibia, Anura, Pelobatidae.
CUUAAUUAGGAUAUAUCAAAAUGAAGAAAAACCCCAAAGCCCACUGGGCAGAGCUGUGGGAAUGUACAAGAAGAUCUACAAGUUCGUCAUUCUGUUACUUCCAAAGAUGCCAAAAUAUUCACUAUUACUCCGAAUUACGCCAAAACAACUCAAGAGGUGGCAACUGCCCUAGUUAAGGUCGUGGAGGAAGAUGAAACGAAAAAGGAAAAUGUUUAUGUAGAUUUCCAUCCUGAGCCACAUAUUCCCAAAGCUGUG